Molecule: ribosomal RNA, 922 nt
Filed under: uncultured bacterium
Lineage: Bacteria
Description: bacterial SSU rRNA
Rfam family: Bacterial small subunit ribosomal RNA
Source: RNAcentral
UGAGGUGCUUGCACCUUAUCUUAGCGGCGGACGGGUGAGUAAUGCUUAGGAAUCUGCCUAUUAGUGGGGGACAACAUUCCGAAAGGAAUGCUAAUACCGCAUACGCCCUACGGGGGAAAGCAGGGGAUCUUCGGACCUUGCGCUAAUAGAUGAGCCUAAGUCGGAUUAGCUAGUUGGUGGGGUAAAGGCCUACCAAGGCGACGAUCUGUAGCGGGUCUGAGAGGAUGAUCCGCCACACUGGGACUGAGACACGGCCCAGACUCCUACGGGAGGCAGCAGUGGGGAAUAUUGGACAAUGGGCGGAAGCCUGAUCCAGCCAUGCCGCGUGUGUGAAGAAGGCCUUUUGGUUGUAAAGCACUUUAAGCGAGGAGGAGGCUACUUAGAUUAAUACUCUAGGAUAGUGGACGUUACUCGCAGAAUAAGCACCGGCUAACUCUGUGCCAGCAGCCGCGGUAAUACAGAGGGUGCGAGCGUUAAUCGGAUUUACUGGGCGUAAAGCGUGCGUAGGCGGCUGAUUAAGUCGGAUGUGAAAUCCCUGAGCUUAACUUAGGAAUUGCAUUCGAUACUGGUCAGCUAGAGUAUGGGAGAGGAUGGUAGAAUUCCAGGUGUAGCGGUGAAAUGCGUAGAGAUCUGGAGGAAUACCGAUGGCGAAGGCAGCCAUCUGGCCUAAUACUGACGCUGAGGUACGAAAGCAUGGGGAGCAAACAGGAUUAGAUACCCUGGUAGUCCAUGCCGUAAACGAUGUCUACUAGCCGUUGGGGCCUUUGAGGCUUUAGUGGCGCAGCUAACGCGAUAAGUAGACCGCCUGGGGAGUACGGUCGCAAGACUAAAACUCAAAUGAAUUGACGGGGGCCCGCACAAGCGGUGGAGCAUGUGGUUUAAUUCGAUGCAACGCGAAGAACCUUACCUGUCUUGACAUAGU